Molecule: ribosomal RNA, 468 nt
Filed under: uncultured bacterium
Lineage: Bacteria
Description: partial 16S ribosomal RNA
Rfam family: Bacterial small subunit ribosomal RNA
Source: RNAcentral
GAUGAACGCUGGCGGCGUGCUUAGCACAUGCAAGUCGAACGGAAAGGCCCAAGCUUGCUUGGGUACUCGAGUGGCGAACGGGUGAGUAACACGUGGGUGAUCUGCCCUGCACUUCGGGAUAAGCCUGGGAAACUGGGUCUAAUACCGGAUAGGACGAUGGUUUGGAUGCCAUUGUGGAAAGUUUUUUCGGUGUGGGAUGAGCUCGCGGCCUAUCAGCUUGUUGGUGGGGUAAUGGCCUACCAAGGCGUCGACGGGUAGCCGGCCUGAGAGGGUGUACGGCCACAUUGGGACUGAGAUACGGCCCAGACUCCUACGGGAGGCAGCAGUGGGGAAUAUUGCACAAUGGGCGCAAGCCUGAUGCAGCGACGCCGCGUGGGGGAUGACGGCCUUCGGGUUGUAAACUCCUUUCGCUAGGGACGAAGCGUUUUUGUGACGGUACCUGGAGAAGAAGCACCGGCUAACUACGUG